GGACGCCAGUUCUAGCCGGGAACAUGGCCUUGUCCUGCUCGAGGAGGAGGGACGCACCUAGGCACCGGCCCUGUCCCGCAACAAGGGGUCUUCUCCUCUGCUUCCAAGGCAACCAAGCUGCCCUGCCUGAGCUCGAUGAUUCAAGCCCGGCCACGACCACGCACCGCUCCCAGCAGGGUGACAGGAAGCCAUGUUGCCAUUUUGUUUGUUCCCAGCCCCGACUGGUCGUCCGGCGAAUCCGUCAUGUUGUCAUUUUCUUGUAAAGUAGUACUGUAUCACACUUGUAGAGCUCGUUACACUUGUAGAGCUUGUAAAGUACUGUAUUACACAUGGUCAUAUGUAUUGGCAUGGAUAGAGCUUGUUACUGUUGUUGCCAAUGUAUUAUGUGAUCUGGUUGCUCUUAUUUGAA
Aegilops tauschii subsp. strangulata is the source of this 409-nucleotide long non-coding RNA. RefSeq lists it as uncharacterized. NCBI's taxonomy places the organism in Eukaryota, Viridiplantae, Streptophyta, Magnoliopsida, Poales, Poaceae. The record is from RefSeq and is a predicted model, not a curated record.